UGUGCUUAAGGUGCGUCAGUUCUUCAGUUAAGAACUUAAGGUGCAUUUUUUGUUGAAACUUAAGGUGCGUCAGUCUAAACCUUUAGGUGUGUCUUUCCAUAGCUU
Molecule: long non-coding RNA, 105 nt
Organism: Ipomoea nil (Japanese morning glory)
Lineage: Eukaryota; Viridiplantae; Streptophyta; Magnoliopsida; Solanales; Convolvulaceae
Exons: 3
Source: RefSeq, a predicted model, not a curated record